AUGAGUAGUUUAGGCUAUUUAUAAUUUAGUGGCGAACGGGUGAGUAACACGUAGACAAUCUGACCUAUACUGGGGGAUAGGCCGAUGAAAGUUGGAUUAAUACCGCAUAUGGUCAUGUAAUUGCAUGAUUAUGUAAUGAAAGUGGAGACAUGGUAUAGGAGGAGUCUGCGGCACAUUAGCUAGUAGGUGAGGUAAGGGCUUACCUAGGCGACGAUGUGUAGCCGGUCUGAGAGGAUGAGCGGCCACAAUGGAACUGAGAUACGGUCCAUACUCCUACGGGAGGCAGCAGUGGGGAAUAUUGCACAAUGGGGGGAACCCUGAUGCAGCAACGCCGCGUGAGUGAAGAAGGUUUUCGGAUUGUAAAGCUCUGUUAGCAGGGAAGAGAGAGGACGGUACCUGCAGAGGAAGCCACGGCUAACUACGUGCCAGCAGCCGCGGUAAUACGUAGGUGGCAAGCGUUGUUCGGAAUAACUGGGCGUAAAGGAUGCGUAGGCGGUUAUACAAGUUAUGUGUUAAAUAUAUAGGCUUAACCUGUAGAGGGGCAUAUAAAACUGUAUAACUUGAGUGUAGGAGAGGUAAGUGGAAUUCCUAGUGUAGCGGUGAAAUGCGUAGAGAUUAGGAAGAACACCAGUGGCGAAGGCGACUUACUGGACUAUAACUGACGCUGAGGCAUGAGAGCAUGGGGAGCAAACAGGAUUAGAUACCCUGGCAGUCCAUGCUGUAAACGAUGGGUACUAGGUGUAGGUUGUGAAUAGCAAUCUGUGCCGUCGCA
Molecule: ribosomal RNA, 772 nt
Filed under: uncultured bacterium
Lineage: Bacteria
Description: SSU rRNA
Rfam family: Bacterial small subunit ribosomal RNA
Source: RNAcentral